AAAUCUUGUCCCAAGGUUACACGUCUCAAUGUUCUUCGUCUUCCAUCUAAAUUGUAACUUGUUUCUAACUCAUGAGUCAAAAUGAUAUAUUUUGAAAUAACAUGAAACUGCAAUGUCAAUUAAUAUCUAUCUCUACCCUAGUAAACAUGCUAUCUCUACCCUAAUAAACAUGCUAGAAUGAUAGUUUACAGUGUGAAUGAUUUUAACCUAAUCCUAUUAUACAAUGAAAACAAAGCAGAUGGAAUUGUAAAAUUCAUAUGCCAGGCCAUCUUCACCACAA
RNAcentral lists this long non-coding RNA (280 nucleotides) under Theobroma cacao (cacao). RNAcentral's name for it is "long non-coding RNA (TCAC_LNC003881)". Lineage: Eukaryota; Viridiplantae; Streptophyta; Magnoliopsida; Malvales; Malvaceae. The record is from RNAcentral.